CAGUCGCCGCGGUAAUACAGAGGGUGCGAGCGUUAAUCGGAUUUACUGGGCGUAAAACGUGCGUAGGCGGCUUCUUAAGUCGGAUGUGAAAUCCCUGAGCUUAACUUAGGAAUUGCAUUCGAUACUGGGAAGCUAGAGUAUGGGAGAGGAUGGUAGAAUUCCAGGUGUAGCGGUGAAAUGCGUAGAGAUCUGGAGGAAUACCGAUGGCGAAGGCAGCCAUCUGGCCUAAUACUGACGCUGAGGUACGAAAGCAUGGGGAGCAAACAGGAUUAGAUACCCGCGUAGUCCCUGUCUCUUAUAC
This 301-nucleotide ribosomal RNA is filed under the name uncultured bacterium. RNAcentral's name for it is "partial 16S ribosomal RNA". It matches the Rfam family "Bacterial small subunit ribosomal RNA", at positions 509 to 807 of the family's 1533-position model. The record is from RNAcentral.